RNAcentral lists this ribosomal RNA (766 nucleotides) under uncultured bacterium. RNAcentral's name for it is "bacterial SSU rRNA". It matches the Rfam family "Bacterial small subunit ribosomal RNA", at positions 121 to 904 of the family's 1533-position model. The record is from RNAcentral.
GUAACCUGCCUCAAAGUGGGGGAUAGCCUUCCGAAAGGAAGAUUAAUACCGCAUAAAGCCAAGUUUCACAUGGAAUUUGGAUGAAAGGAGUAAUUCGCUUUGAGAUGGACCCGCGGCGCAUUAGUUAGUUGGUGGGGUAAUGGCCUACCAAGACAGCGAUGCGUAGCCGACCUGAGAGGGUGAUCGGCCACAUUGGAACUGAGAUACGGUCCAGACUCCUACGGGAGGCAGCAGUGGGGAAUAUUGCACAAUGGGCGAAAGCCUGAUGCAGCAACGCCGCGUGAGUGAUGAAGGUCUUCGGAUUGUAAAGCUCUGUCUUUUGGGACGAUAAUGACGGUACCAAAGAGGAAGCCACGGCUAACUACGUGCCAGCAGCCGCGGUAAUACGUAGGUGGCGAGCGUUGUCCGGAUUUACUGGGCGUAAAGGGUGCGUAGGCGGAUGUUUAAGUGAGAUGUGAAAUACCCGGGCUUAACUUGGGUGCUGCAUUUCAAACUGGAUAUCUAGAGUGCAGGAGAGGAGAAUGGAAUUCCUAGUGUAGCGGUGAAAUGCGUAGAGAUUAGGAAGAACACCAGUGGCGAAGGCGAUUCUCUGGACUGUAACUGACGCUGAGGCACGAAAGCGUGGGUAGCAAACAGGAUUAGAUACCCUGGUAGUCCACGCCGUAAACGAUGAGUACUAGGUGUAGGAGGUAUCGACCCCUUCUGUGCCGCAGUAAACACAUUAAGUACUCCGCCUGGGAAGUACGAUCGCAAGAUUAAAACUCAA